Small nuclear RNA from Abrus precatorius (Indian licorice), 130 nucleotides. The record is from RefSeq and is a predicted model, not a curated record. Lineage: Eukaryota; Viridiplantae; Streptophyta; Magnoliopsida; Fabales; Fabaceae.
GUGUUCAUGAAAAGGAGAGACGGUUGGCAUCUCCCCUGACAGGGACGGGAAGAGCCUUCGGGCUUUCUCUUUUACACAUCCGGUUAAGGAUGUCCACCUCUAGCAGGCGGAUAUCUAACCCAGUUUUUUC